RNAcentral lists this unclassified non-coding RNA (562 nucleotides) under Hevea brasiliensis (rubber tree). Lineage: Eukaryota; Viridiplantae; Streptophyta; Magnoliopsida; Malpighiales; Euphorbiaceae. The record is from RNAcentral.
GAUCCUUCGACUUUGGAGGUUUCAUACUCUUUUGAGGCUUGGGUGGUGUUUCGGUGUUGACGUUUGGGGCGAGCAAGGUCUCUGGCAUAGGAGGGGAACUCACUUGCUUCUGCACAAGGGUCGGCUCAGCAGUGUCCUCGGGCAUCACAAGCCUGUCUUUGAGUGGAGUGAGGUUUUUCUUUGUUUUGAAGUCCCGAAGACUGGAAGGAACAAGGCUGAUAAAUAAACCACCGAUCGCUUCGAUAGCAAGCUUCAAUAGAUCGGCAAUAAGCCUCCCAAAUGACGGCCAUCCAGCGACCUGGUCCUCUUGUAGGCUUUCGACAAUUAGUGUGGGCUUCUCAAUUGUGGUGCCAUCUUGUUUUUCGCUCUCCAAUGUUUGCUUCUCAUUUGCACUGAAGGAGGAUCCAAAUCCAUGCUGAAGCAAACAUGAUAAGUAUCCUGCCAAUACUGCUCCAAUGACCAUUAUGAUAUCUGAUGCCGAAACUGAGCUAUUCUGAUUAUCACAAUCCUCCUGCUGAAGAGAAAUCUCACGAAGGGCGGCAUUCCCCCUAUCCACCACCAA